RNAcentral lists this ribosomal RNA (1388 nucleotides) under uncultured bacterium. Its description in RNAcentral is "bacterial SSU rRNA". It matches the Rfam family "Bacterial small subunit ribosomal RNA". The record is from RNAcentral.
AGAGUUUGAUCCUGGCUCAGAUUGAACGCUGGCGGCAGGCCUAACACAUGCAAGUCGAACGGUAACAGGAAGCAGCUUGCUGCUUUGCUGACGAGUGGCGGACGGGUGAGUAAUGUCUGGGAAACUGCCUGAUGGAGGGGGAUAACUACUGGAAACGGUAGCUAAUACCGCAUAACGUCGCAAGACCAAAGAGGGGGACCUUCGGGCCUCUUGCCAUCGGAUGUGCCCAGAUGGGAUUAGCUUGUUGGUGGGGUAACGGCUCACCAAGGCGACGAUCCCUAGCUGGUCUGAGAGGAUGACCAGCCACACUGGAACUGAGACACGGUCCAGACUCCUACGGGAGGCAGCAGUGGGGAAUAUUGCGCAAUGGGCGCAAGCCUGAUGCAGCCAUGCCGCGUGUAUGAAGAAGGCCUUCGGGUUGUAAAGUACUUUCAGCGGGGAGGAAGGGAGUAAAGUUAAUACCUUUACUCAUUGACGUUACCCGCAGAAGAAGCACCGGCUAACUCCGUGCCAGCAGCCGCGGUAAUACGGAGGGUGCAAGCGUUAAUCGGAAUUACUGGGCGUAAAGCGCACGCAGGCGGUUUGUUAAGUCAGAUGUGAAAUCCCCGGGCUCAACCUGGGAACUGCAUCUGAUACUGGCAAGCUUGAGUCUCGUAGAGGGGGGUAGAAUUCCAGGUGUAGCGGUGAAAUGCGUAGAGAUCUGGAGGAAUACCGGUGGCGAAGGCGGCCCCCUGGACGAAGACUGACGCUCAGGUACGAAAGCGUGGGGAGCAAACAGGAUUAGAUACCCUGGUAGUCCACGCCGUAAACGAUGUCGACUUGGAGGUUGUGCCCUUGAGGCGUGGCUUCCGGAGCUAACGCGUUAAGUCGACCGCCUGGGGAGUACGGCCGCAAGGUUAAAACUCAAAUGAAUUGACGGGGGCCCGCACAAGCGGUGGAGCAUGUGGUUUAAUUCGAUGCAACGCGAAGAACCUUACCUGGUCUUGACAUCCACGGAAGUUUUCAGAGAUGAGAAUGUGCCUUCGGGAACCGUGAGACAGGUGCUGCAUGGUUGUCGUCAGCUCGUGUCGUGAGAUGUUGGGUUAAGUCCCGCAACGAGCGCAACCCUUGUUCUUAGUUGCCAUCAUUUAGUUGGGCACUCUAAGGAGACUGCCGGUGAUAAACCGGAGGAAGGUGGGGAUGACGUCAAAUCAUCAUGCCCCUUAUGACCUGGGCUACACACGUGCUACAAUGGACGGUACAAACGGUUGCCAACCCGCGAGGGGGAGCUAAUCCGAUAAAACCGUUCUCAGUUCGGAUUGUAGGCUGCAACUCGCCUACAUGAAGCCGGAAUCGCUAGUAAUCGCGGAUCAGCAUGCCGCGGUGAAAAAGUUCCCGGGCCUUGCACA